Molecule: non-coding RNA, 264 nt
Organism: Pelobates cultripes (western spadefoot toad)
Lineage: Eukaryota; Metazoa; Chordata; Amphibia; Anura; Pelobatidae
Source: the annotation of a GenBank genome assembly
CCCAUCAUCCAGCACUCACACACCCAUCAUCCAGCACCCACACACCCAUCAUCCAGCACCCACACACACAUCAUCCAGCACUCACACACCCAUCAUCCAGCACUCACACACCCAUCAUCCAGCACUCACAUCCAUCAUCCAGCACUCACACACCCAUCAUCCAGCACUCACACACAUCAUCCAGCACUCACACACCCAUCAUCCAGCACUCACACACCCAUCAUCCAGCACACACACACAUCAUCCAGCACUCACACACACCCA